RNAcentral lists this ribosomal RNA (1764 nucleotides) under gut metagenome. Its description in RNAcentral is "bacterial LSU rRNA". It matches the Rfam family "Bacterial large subunit ribosomal RNA", at positions 523 to 2290 of the family's 2925-position model. The record is from RNAcentral.
ACCCCGGGAGGGGAGUGAAAUAGAACCUGAAACCGCAUGCAUACAAACAGUAGGAGCCUCGUCAGAGGUGACUGCGUACCUUUUGCAUAAUGGGUCAGCGACUUACAUUCUGUGGCGAGCUUAACCGAAUAGGGGAGGCGCAGCGAAAGCGAGUUCGAAAUGAGCGUUCAGUCGCAGGGUGUAGACCCGAAACCAGAUGAGCUAUCCAUGGCCAGGUUGAAGGUGUGGUAACACACACUGGAGGACCGAACCGACUAGUGUUGCAAAAUUAGCGGAUGAGCUGUGGAUAGGGGUGAAAGGCCAAACAAAUCUGGAGAUAGCUGGUUCUCCCCGAAAACUAUUGAGGUAGUGCCUCGUGUGUCGCUCCAGGGGGUAGAGCACUGUUUUGGCUAGGGGGACAUGGAGUCUUACCAAACCAAGGCAAACUCCGAAUACCUGGAAGCGUGAGCACGGGAGACAGAGCACCGGGUGCUAACGUCCGGACUCAAAAGGGAAACAACCCAGACCGCCGGCUAAGGUCCCAAAUAACAGCUAAGUGGAAAACGAAGUGGAAAGGCCGUGACAACCAGGAAGUUGGCUUAGAAGCAGCCAUCCUUCAAAGAAAGCGUAAUAGCUCACUGGUCGAGUCCUUCUGCGCGGAAGAUGUAACGGGGCUAAGCUGUUAACCGAAGCCGCGGAUGCGCUGGUUAUCCAGUGCGUGGUAGGGGAGCGUUCUGUAAGUCUGCGAAGGCGGUUCGAGAGGACUGCUGGAGAUAUCAGAAGUGCGAAUGCUGACAUGAGUAACGUUAAAGCAGGUGAAAAGCCUGCUCGCCGUAAGCCCAAGGAUUCCUGCUCUACGUUCAUCGGAGCAGGGUGAGUCGGCUCCUAAGGUCAGGCCGAAAGGCGUAGCCGAUGGGAAUCAGGUUAAUAUUCCUGAACCUGCGUCAGAUGCGAUGGGGGGACGGAGCAUGGAAGAUCAUCCGGGUGUUGGAAGUCCCGGUUGUUGAGCGUAGGAGGUCUGCAGGCAAAUCCGCAGACGCAUCUCCAAGGCAAAGACACGUGCCGCCACGGCGGCGAAGUGAUCGGAAGUGCUUCCAAGAAAAGCCUCUAAGCUUCAGUCUGAUGCGGACCGUACCGCAAACCGACACUGGUGGGCGAGCUGAAUAUGCUCAGGCGCUUGAGAGAACUCGGGAGAAGGAACUCGGCAAAUUGACACCGUAACUUCGGAAGAAGGUGUGCCGUAGUACCGUGAGAGGAGAGACACCUUGAGCGGGAAACGGUCUCAGAGAAUAGGUGGCUGCGACUGUUUAUUAAAAACACAGCACUCUGCAAAGUCGAAAGACGACGUAUAGGGUGUGAUGCCUGCCCGGUGCUGGAAGAUUAAUUGAUGGGGUGAGAGCCCUUGAUCGAAGUCCCAGUAAACGGCGGCCGUAACUAUAACGGUCCUAAGGUAGCGAAAUUCCUUGUCGGGUAAGUUCCGACCUGCACGAAUGGCAUAACGAUGGCCACACUGUCUCCUCCCGAGACUCAGUGAAGUUGAAAUGUUUGUGAUGAUGCAAUCUACCCGCGGCUAGACGGAAAGACCCCAUGAACCUUUACUGCAGCUUUGCAUUGAACUGUGAACCGAUUUGUGUAGGAUAGGUGGGAGGCAGAGAAGAGGCCACGCCAGUGGCCUUGGAGCCGACCUUGAAAUACCACCCUGAUUUGUUUGCGGUUCUAACCACGGACAGUGAUCCUGUCUUGGGACCGUGCAUGGUAGGCAGUUUGACUGGGGCGGUCUCCUCC